Ictalurus punctatus (channel catfish) is the source of this 1049-nucleotide long non-coding RNA. The record is from Ensembl. NCBI's taxonomy places the organism in Eukaryota, Metazoa, Chordata, Actinopteri, Siluriformes, Ictaluridae.
CACGAGUUGUUUUAUUCGGGCUCUUGGCGCCUAUUGUAAACAACUUAUUCACAUUUAAAUCAAAUGGACCCUGGCAGUGGGACAGACGCGGUUGGGAAAAGCAGAGCCCGGACACACAUGUGCCCCAAAGAUUGUUUGUAAAAAGCGUAUUGUUUAACUCUCAUAUAGGCUACUGUACAUUUCACAUGCAUUUGUGGAAAAACGUGUGAUGUCCAUUUCACCAUGCGCGUGCACAUGCGUGCCAAAACUGAACAUGACAAUAAAGUAAUCAUGGUGGGGGGGGUACAACAACAACUCAUGCAUGACUAAAACGUGUCUAAAAACUAUUUUACACGUGUGAAGUCCGUGUGAGUUUUGCAUCCUUUAGCCUAGUGCAUUUAUUUCCAGAGCAAUUCUGAGGAAAAAUUAAUACAGACAGAUUAGACAGAGUAUCUGUCUAAUAACUGUAGAAAUACUUUGUUACAGCCUAUAAACCAAUAGGUUUACUGAUCACGCUAUAAUACAAGCUAGAGCUUUCGAGCUAGAAAUAAAUAAAUAAAUAGACAAAUAAAUAAAUAAAUAAGUAUAGCUAAACCUAAAAUGGUAGGUUUGAUCACCACUCGUUUUGUCUGCGGUAAAUACAUUUCCUGCAGAGUUUCUAGUGAACAACAGAGGGCGCUACAGGAACACAUGACCUGCUCUAUAGGCUACAAUGGAUUGUAGUGGAAGAUGACCAAACGACCAAAUUCAUUGUGUGUUUAUAAUUUUCACAGUUUGUGCUUGAAUCAUGAUUUUUGAAUCUUUUUUUUGGUGACGGUCCGUUUUAUAACUAACAUUCUGCAUUGCAUUCAAAGUGUUAAAUGUGUUUUAAUACAAACUGAGAGCACGAGAGAGGAAAAAUAACCAACACAAUUUGCACCACUAGUGGUUGACCCUGCAUCUGUGUAGGGUGGGGUGGUCUAGGACAAUAUGGCCUGUUACUAGACCCUUGUGGUUAAGUGAGUGACAAGGGCUACAUUUUUACUAACCAUCUGACUAGAGGUGCGUAAAUUUACUAGGCUACAAAAUGU